Molecule: long non-coding RNA, 2359 nt
Organism: Cairina moschata (Muscovy duck)
Lineage: Eukaryota; Metazoa; Chordata; Aves; Anseriformes; Anatidae
Source: Ensembl
AUGCACUGGAUAAUAGAGAAGAAGAGGAUUUUUGAACCUCCUCAGUCUACCGCUCUGUUUUGGAACAGAGGAAAAAUGGUCUCUUACUUAAAUAAAUGGAGUUUUCAUCUGCUGGGCAAGCUGAUUAUAGCUGCUGGUUGCAGUGUGGGAGUGUUUAAUGGAAUAGCCUUAUUCAUCUUUGACCAAGGUCAUGUUGAUACCAUGAAAUUAAUGGUAUGUAUUGAAAAGAGAGUUGAACUGUGAGGUUACUCAACAUGUGAGUACCUACUAAAUGUGUCAGGAUAUUAAAAAAAAAAAAAAAAAAAAGACAAGGAUUACUAGUUUCUGUAAGGCUAAAAAACAUGCCUGCUUAUAUAACCGUAUUUGUUGAGCUCUGGGGGAUAAACUACUUAAAAAUGUUUCUUCUACAUUGGAGUAGUGCUUUAAACUUAAUUUUAAAGAUGAAAGUUUUUAUUUUGUAGAAGAGAAGAUGUAAUAUAGAUUGUGAUGAAACAAUAUCUAAAGCUCCUAAAUUAAUCACAAGUGUAACUUAACAACAAAAGCUUUAUAAAUAUGAUUAUUUCCAACUUCCCCAGCCUCAGUCUGGAAGAGAUGCAAUGUAUGAUCUGCUGUGCAGCAGUGGUGGAAACAGCUGCUCACCUUCCUGACAGGGUGGCACCAACAUUGUCAUUUUGGUGUUUGUAGUGCAAUGCUAAUAGGCUCUAAGGGUGGGUGGGAUCUUCCGUUAAAUUCCAGUCCGUAUAGUAGGCAGGAUAAUUGAGUCCUGGAAACUCCAGUGUUGUUUUGAUAGGCUGCUUUAAGGAUCUAUUUUAUGUUCUUGUUCUAGUAAAUAGUUAACUGAAACUGCAACUGCUUUUAAGGAGUCAGUUACUUUUUUUUGAUUCCUGAAAUUAUGAUCUCUGUAUUUGCUCCUGUCCUGCUAUCUUUGCAACCGUGGUGAAUCCAUUAAAGGAAACUUUCAAGCAUGCCAUUCUUAUUUAUAAACCUUUGCAAUCUGGGGAACAACUGAAUUGGUACUGUCAGGUAGCGUUUGAUACAUCUUGCAGUUAAAGUGACAGAUACUUUGUGGGUUUUCUUUUUCCUUUUCUUCUAGAUUUUGUGGUUUACUUUGGAGAGCAACAGCAUUUUAAUUUAUCUUAUAGGUAUAAAAGAUAAUUUUGUAGUGAUAACAGAUUAGCAAAACAAGAUCUUCACCUUUGGUCUUGAGAGAGAACUAAAAUGGCAAAAAAUAAAAAUUAAAAAAAUUAUAUCCUUAUAAAGCAAUUUGAUUCCCUCCCUACCCCUCCCAACACCCUUGAACUUGUUACUCUUCAUAAAUACCUUUCCAACAUGCAAUUCUUAGUUAUUCAUAGUUACAGUUCUUAUGUCAUUUCAAAAGCACUCUGUACCUAACAGGCAUGAGCCUGAAAUUCUUUUGUUCUGAGCUGAAAUGAAAGUCUUAGUGCAUGACAGGGGGAAGUAAAUUAAACAACUGUUAUAGGGCUAUUUUUAGGUUCAGUAACUGCACCAGGCACUUGUUUGAUGCUUCUGAUUUAUUUAUUAUUUCUGCUUUAAAAAUUUCAAGGGAAGAACUGUCAGAUGUGCAUGUUGGACUAAAAGGUGUUUCAGGUCUACACUAAAUAUAAGGGUGAGGCUAGUUCACACCUGUCUCCUUUGGGGACUUCAGCUGGUCAUGCCUGUUGUGAUUUGUGUUUAUUCAGUUAUUUGGUAUUAAUGUUUUUUUGUUAUUGUUGUUUAUUUUGAGGAUUAAAGCAUAAAAGUGCCAAUAAUAAGGCAGUGCCUUUACCCUGCAUGCUACAUCUUGCAGUGAUGUCCCUGCAUUGCUCUCUAGCUUCUAGUGCCUGUAAAUAGUGGCUGCAAAUCAGUGUUGCAGCUUUGGCAGCAGGGGUAAUUUUUCAGGAUACAAAUGGAAAGUAGGUGUCCUGCAGGCUGUUAGGGGACUUUGUACUUAUCUGCACUUCCUGAUUUUUUUUUUUAUUCUUCCAUUUUUUCUCUUGUUUGUAGUCUUUGCUGUUAAGCAAAAAAUGGCAUGUUUUAUAUUAGUAUCAUUUCAUAUGGUUUAGUUCUAGACAAGAAUUAUCAGGGUUAUCUCGUCCAUACUCUGCCGUCUUAGGUCCAUGGUAUCUGUCUAAUGCUGCAGCUUUUCUUUAUACCAGAGCAGAAAGUGAAACGUUUCUUCUAGAAGCAGGGAAGGCACCAGCCUUCACCUCUUAAAAGACAAUCUGAAGUUCACUAUUUCAUUUAGUUAUCGCAGGUACAAGUAAACUGUUUCAUACUUCUUGCCACUUAAGUUUGGCUUGAUAUGAGACAAGUCUCAAAGGCAACUUACUGGCUGUCCUCUAUCUGAAGUCAGGAUGGC